This is a long non-coding RNA of Carassius gibelio (silver crucian carp), 473 nucleotides long. RefSeq lists it as uncharacterized. The transcript has 4 exons. Lineage: Eukaryota; Metazoa; Chordata; Actinopteri; Cypriniformes; Cyprinidae. The record is from RefSeq and is a predicted model, not a curated record.
CAGAAAGGGAGUGUCCAAGAUUUCAAUAUUUCUGAAGGGAGCUGCUGACAGAGAUGUAGGAAGCGCUGAAAAGAUUCUUCAGUGCUGAUGGCCUGCUGCAUCCAGCAGAGUCGGAGUGAACCUACUGUAAGACAACAUCUCCAAGAUGCUAUUGACCACAAGACUAGUACAGGUUAUUAGAAACUGCACAGCGCAGGACUUGCAGGACUUGUGAGGACUUCAGAUGAUACCAGUACUCAAAAGACCUUAGAUGAUGGCAACUAUAGAUGGACAUACAAACUACCGCCACUGCAAAAAAGAUUCUAAUUUGAAAGAAGUUUAUAAUGCAUGUUCGCUACUCCCAAUUCAGAAGACUGAAUCAGCCUGUGUAUCUGAAUGUUUCUCAUACUCACGCCUCUCUGCCACGUCUGAAUUUGGGAUUUUCCUUAGCUGUCAGUUAUAAACGUCAAAAUUAAAAGAAAUAAACAUUUGAA